AUUGACGGGACUCCGCACAAGCAGCGGAGCGUGUGGUUUAAUUCGAUGCUACACGAAGUACCUUACCUGGGUUUGACAUCUAGGUGGUAGCGUAGUGUAAGCGGAGCGACCCUUCGGGGAGCCUAGACAGGUGCUGCAUGGCUGUCGUCAGCUCGUGCCGUGAGGUGUCGGGUUAAGUCCCGUUACGAGCGCAACACAUUGCCCUCCGUUAUACGUGUCAGAGGGGACUGCCGGCGGUUAGCCGGAGGAAGCUGGGGAUGACGUCAAGUCAGCAUGGCCUUUAUAUCCAGGGCUACACACACGCUACAAUGGCCAGUACAAAGGGCAGCGAAGCCGCGAGGUGGAGCGAAUCCCAGCAAAGCUGGUCGUAGUUCGGAUUGCAGGCUGCAACCCGCCUGCAUGAAGCUGGAGUUGCUAGUAACCGCGCGUCAGCCAUACUGCGCUGUAUACGUUCCCGGGGUUUGUACACACCGCCCGUCACGUCAUGGGAGUCGAUUACGCCUGAAGCCGUGUCACAUCGCUCGGAGGAGAGGGCGCUG
This 539-nucleotide ribosomal RNA is filed under the name uncultured organism. RNAcentral describes it as "bacterial SSU rRNA". It matches the Rfam family "Bacterial small subunit ribosomal RNA", at positions 909 to 1461 of the family's 1533-position model. The record is from RNAcentral.